RNAcentral lists this ribosomal RNA (468 nucleotides) under uncultured bacterium. Its description in RNAcentral is "partial 16S ribosomal RNA". It matches the Rfam family "Bacterial small subunit ribosomal RNA", at positions 28 to 507 of the family's 1533-position model. The record is from RNAcentral.
GACGAACGCUGGCGGCGUGCCUAAUACAUGCAAGUCGAACGGAAAGGCCCUGCUCUUGUGGGGCGCUCGAUAGGCGAACGGGUGAGUAACACGCGAGUAACCUCCACUUGACUUUGUGAGAUAUCUACGAAACACGGGCUCAUAUCCGAUAUGAGCUCUUGAUGCAUGUUGGGGGUUGGAAAGAUUCGGCUGUUGGGGAUGGACUCGCGGCUUAUCAGCCGGUUGGUGGGGUAGUGGCUUACCAAGGCUUCGACGGGUAGCCGGCCUGGGAGGGUUACCGGCCACAUUGGGACUGAGAGACGGCCCAGACUCCUACGGGAGGCAGCAGUGGGGAAUAUUGCGCAAUGGGCGGAAGCCUGAUGCAGCAACGCCGCGUGCGGGAUGACGGCCUUCGGGUUAUAAACCGCUGUCGCAUGUGACGAGGCGUGAGUGACGGUAAUUGGUAAAGAAGCACCGGCUAACUACGUG